RNAcentral lists this unclassified non-coding RNA (313 nucleotides) under uncultured Plectosphaerella. Its description in RNAcentral is "partial contains 5.8S ribosomal RNA, internal transcribed spacer 2, and large subunit ribosomal RNA". The stretch from base 1 to 102 matches the Rfam family "5.8S ribosomal RNA", at positions 53 to 154 of the family's 154-position model. The record is from RNAcentral. Lineage: Eukaryota; Fungi; Ascomycota; Sordariomycetes; Glomerellales; Plectosphaerellaceae.
ACGCGAUAUGUAAUGUGAAUUGCAGAAUUCAGUGAAUCAUCGAAUCUUUGAACGCACAUGGCGCCUUCCAGUAUCCUGGGAGGCAUGCCUGUCCGAGCGUCGUUUCAACCCUCGAGCCCCCGUGGCCCGGCGUUGGGGAUCUGCCACGGCAGGCCCCUAAAACCAGUGGCGGACCCGAAGGCCCUCUCCUUUGCGCAGUAGCAUCAGCCUCGCAUUGGGAUCCCUCGGCGUCCUGCCUCUAAACCCCCCACAAGUCCGCUCCGGCGGCACCAAGGUUGACCUCGGAUCAGGUAGGAAUACCCGCUGAACUUAA